GUCUCUGUCCAUAUGUUCUGGCCACUUUUUGAAUGGGGUUAUUUUUUCCUCUUAUUAUUGAGUAUUAAAAUUUCUUUAUACAUCGUGGAUUCAAGCUUUUUAUCAGACAUAUUAUUUAUAAAUAUCAUCUCAUUUUCAAAUUUGUAAUUUGAGCUCAUUUUACUCUUUAAUAUUUUAGCACAUUCAAAAAAAGAGCUAAAUUUUUAAUGUUGAUAAGAUCCAAUCUAUCAUUUCUUUUAUGAAUUACGCUUUUGUUGUUAUAUCUAAAAGACUUCUGCCUAACCCAAGGUCACAAAGAUUUUCUCCUAUGUUUACUUCUAGAAGUUUUAUAGUUUUAGGUUUUACAUCUAAGCCUCAGACCAGAGGACUUGAUUUUCAUUUUACUGAGUAAUUGUGGACAAGUCACUGUAUUAAAUUGGAUUCUACUUUCCUCAAAGCCUGGUGGGCUUGACUGAGACCAAUGUCUGAGACUUGUCCUUCUGAAGAAGUGGAUGUCUGCUGCCCACUUGUGAGAAUUGCUUGCAGCCAAACGUAAGGCCGUGGGCCCAGUUAGGCACCAGAGGGCUCAUCAGCUCAUUGUCGCCCACUUUAGUCUGCCGAGAUCCCACCCACUUGAUCUUGUCGGGAGAGAAGGCUGGUUCUUCCUCAGUCACCAGGGGCCAACGUCACCCUUGCAGAAAGUAUGAGCCACAAAGAAGUGCUACACAGCCAAUAUAUCACACCACACAUGAUGACUCACAUGUGAUUUGAACUUGUCUCUAUUUGGUUAAAUCUGGGCUCACGAAUACUUGAGAGACAAGGCCUCACUCUGUUGCCCAGGCUGGAGUGCUGUGAUGCGAUCAUGGCUCACCGCAACCUCAACUUCUUGGGCUCAAGCAAUCCUCCUGCCUAAGCUUCCUGAGAAGUGGGGACCACAGACAGAGAGGCCGUAGAGGGUUCUUGCAUCCCUUGACUUCCUGAGCAAGCCUCUUCCUGCUCUAAUGUCUACGUGGAUCAUGGGGACCUCAUGCAAUGCAGACACUAUUUCAGAAGGUCCAGGUUCCUUGCUUUGAUGAAGCAAGCUGCCAUGUUGGAGACAAAUGACUGAGGACAAUGUCCGGCCAACAAGCAGAAAGGAAAUGAAUCUACCACCAACUAUGUGGACAUGGAAGUGGAUUCUUUUCCUGUUGAGCCUUCUGAUGACUCCAGCUCAGCCGAUGCCUUGAUGCAGCUAGGUGAGAGACCUCCAGCUAGGUGACCAGCCAUCCAGUUGGCCCUGGACUGAGGGAAGUGGCUGGGAUGCAGGGCUUUCUAUUGUCUAACUGAUGCAGUUUCUAGAAACCCAUCCCAGCAUGCCUGGAAAUGAAUUUUUUGGGAUGAAGUCUUUUUGGUGCUAAGACAGGGAAAAUCCUGGGCAAAUUCUGAUGAGUUGUUCAUCUUACGCAAGAGACCCAGGUAACCUGUGCCUGGAUUCCUGAUCCACCGAAAUCAUGAGCUAAUACAUAUAGGCUGUUUUAGGCUGCUAAUUCCUGUGGCAAUUUGUUGCCGGCAAUAGAUAGGGAGAUGGGAAGGGAUUG
Molecule: long non-coding RNA, 1556 nt
Filed under: Homo sapiens (human)
Lineage: Eukaryota; Metazoa; Chordata; Mammalia; Primates; Hominidae
Description: HSALNT0122317
Source: RNAcentral